UUUAAGCCCUAAAUAUGAUUUAAGUUUCUUAUAUCU
This 36-nucleotide transfer RNA is filed under the name Orobdella ibukifukuyamai. Its description in RNAcentral is "partial tRNA-Leu". The record is from RNAcentral. Lineage: Eukaryota; Metazoa; Annelida; Clitellata; Hirudinida; Orobdellidae.